Molecule: ribosomal RNA, 372 nt
Filed under: uncultured organism
Description: bacterial SSU rRNA
Rfam family: Bacterial small subunit ribosomal RNA
Source: RNAcentral
CAGAGGUGGCAAGCGUUGUUCGGAAUUACUGGGCGUAAAGGGCGCGUAGGUGGUCUUGUCAGUCAGACGUGAAAUCCCCAGGCUUAACCUGGGAACUGCGUCUGAUACUACGAGACUUGAGUUCGGGAGAGGGAUGUGGAAUUCCAGGUGUAGCGGUGAAAUGCGUAGAUAUCUGGAGGAACACCGGUGGCGAAGGCGGCAUCCUGGACCGAAACUGACACUGAUGCGCGAAAGCCAGGGGAGCAAACGGGAUUAGAUACCCCGGUAGUCCUGGCCCUAAACGAUGAGUGCUUGGUGUGGCGGGUAUCGAUCCCUGCCGUGCCGAAGCUAACGCAUUAAGCACUCCGCCUGGGGAGUACGGUCGCAAGGCUG